Chaetomidium leptoderma is the source of this 79-nucleotide non-coding RNA. NCBI's taxonomy places the organism in Eukaryota, Fungi, Ascomycota, Sordariomycetes, Sordariales, Chaetomiaceae. The record is from the annotation of a GenBank genome assembly.
GGUCUGCUGGCUUAAUGGAAAAGCGUCUGACUACGACUCGGUAAUCAGAAGAUUCCAGGUUCGAUCCCUGGGUGGAUCG